Molecule: ribosomal RNA, 468 nt
Filed under: uncultured bacterium
Lineage: Bacteria
Description: partial 16S ribosomal RNA
Rfam family: Bacterial small subunit ribosomal RNA
Source: RNAcentral
GACGAACGCUGGCGGCGUGCUUAACACAUGCAAGUCGAACGGAAAGGCCCUGCUUUUGUGGGGUGCUCGAGUGGCGAACGGGUGAGUAACACGUGAGUAACCUGUCCUUGACUUUGGGAUAACUUCAGGAAACUGGGGCUAAUACCGGAUAGGAGCUCCUGCUGCAUGGUGGGGGUUGGAAAGUUUCGGCGGUUGGGGAUGGACUCGCGGCUUAUCAGCUUGUUGGUGGGGUAGUGGCUUACCAAGGCUUUGACGGGUAGCCGGCCUGAGAGGGUGACCGGCCACAUUGGGACUGAGAUACGGACCAGACUCCUACGGGAGGCAGCAGUGGGGAAUAUUGCACAAUGGGCGGAAGCCUGAUGCAGCAACGCCGCGUGCGGGAUGAAGGCCUUCGGGUUGUAAACCGCUUUCGCCUGUGACGAAGCGUGAGUGACGGUAAUGGGUAAAGAAGCACCGGCUAACUACGUG